Pseudopipra pipra is the source of this 1495-nucleotide long non-coding RNA. RefSeq lists it as uncharacterized. The transcript has 3 exons. The record is from RefSeq and is a predicted model, not a curated record. Lineage: Eukaryota; Metazoa; Chordata; Aves; Passeriformes; Pipridae.
AGCAUUCACACUCUGGCAGGAGCUAGAUUAGCAUUGUUUCAUACCCUUUCAGAUUACCUUUAAACAUCAGCAUGUGCAGCCUUUGUGCCUUGAUGUUUCAUACCAGUUCACGCCUAAUGAUUUUUUACUGCCUCAGGCUUGAAAUCUUCCCAUGCUGAUAAAUAAUUCAUUUAUUUUCAUUUCAUAUUUUGGGUGCUGUAGUUGAUCACAAACCUCUUCGUAACAGAUUUAGUUCUCUCUCCAUGGGCACAAUUUCCAUUGCAGAGAUAAGUGAGAUGAUGUCAGGCUACAGGCAAUUAAAGGACGAUGCACACUCCUCUAGACAGAGGAGCAGUAUCGAAACAGAAGCUAAGACUUUGACUAUGUAAUGAGCUUUCCAAAGCUGGACUUUCCUCAGCCUUGGCUGCAUGAUUUUGCUUUGGACAUUGAUUAUUUUUGGGUGUAAGGAUGUGUUCUAAUGUCAGAUCCUAAACAAGUAAGAGCCUUGUAGGUGAUACAUUUAAGCACACACACCAAAUCAUUUGAACUCCAAGAGUAAGAUGGUCUCUAUAACCUUUGCAUUUAUCUAAGGCCUCUAAAACAACAUGAAAGCCGUACCCAUUGCCUGAUAACACAAAAGAAUCUUUCUGUAAAAAGCAGAUUUAGAAUUGUAGCUGGUUGAUUCAAUUCCAAACAUGUCAUCCAAAGCUUGCAAACAUUUAUGCAUGUCUUAAUGAAAGUGCUGAUAACUCCAUGUUUCAGAGUAUCAAAUAAUUGUGCAACUGAAAUAUAUCCAGGCUACACAAUUAAUCAUAAUAAUAGCACAAAAUAAUCUAAAGCACUUCACAGACUGACAGGAAGGCCAUAAGGAAGAUUGGCAUCCAACCCCAUUCUCAGUUUCAAGAUGAUAACUGUUAAAAGUCAAAGAUCCCAGAUGGCAAAGCAAAAUUACUUACCUACGCUAAGGAAGUAAUUUGAAUAGAUAUAGAUAGGGUAAAACUAGUAAUUUCCUCCAUGACUUUUUAUCAGGUUAUUACAGAGAACAGUAUCAUUCCUGUUUAUCGGUGGCAAAAGUGACAAGAGAAGUGAAAUGAUGUUGCCUAAGUCAACAAAGUCAAGACCUGAAAUCAGCACUUCUGAGUUCACUGCUCUGUCAUCCAAGUAACCUGAAUUCAUUAAUCUAGUCUUGACUUUAAUGCUAUUUUCAGAAUUAAGAGGUAAAUUUGACUCGCUCACUACCGAAGCAAAAAGUAUUCCUUAAUCACAGCAUACAGUACCAUAAGCAUAGAAACUAGUAGCUCAUGAACCUGUUGCUUGGCUGUUGGCAAAGCUAAGUACCUGCAGUCAGAAGCGAGGCAAAAUCAGCAGCGUAAUUUGUUCUUUUUUGUCUGGAUGCAGACACAGUUACCAUCCACUGCUACGUCUCUACUUGAAUCAUGAUGCCACAUAAUCAGUCAGCAAGUCCUACAACUCGAGAUCAGGAGUUCCUUCACCUGCUGAAUGGCAAAGGCCAAAC